This is a long non-coding RNA of Rhinopithecus roxellana (golden snub-nosed monkey), 1498 nucleotides long. RefSeq lists it as uncharacterized. Lineage: Eukaryota; Metazoa; Chordata; Mammalia; Primates; Cercopithecidae. The record is from RefSeq and is a predicted model, not a curated record. The transcript has 3 exons.
AGAAAUACAGAAGACACAGUUAUAAAUGUGAUAAAUGGAGGAGAAAGGGAUGGAGUAGUCUCAUUUUACAUAUGCAGAAGUCAAGACGUUCCCUUCGAAGUUGAAGAGGCAUGAAGAUUAGAGAUGUUACUUAAAGACGUAACCAGGAAAAACCCGAAAAGCAGAAGAGAAAAAAAUAGGAGUGCUGCAUUUGAUACAGUUCUUGGGAUAAAUGUUGCAGUCAAGAAACUAAGCCGUCCUUUUCAGAACCAAACUCAUGCAAAGAGAGCUUAUCGUGAACUUGUCCUCUUAAAAUGUGUCAAUCAUAAAAAUAACACGACUUAAAAGUGGCUUCAGAGGAAAACCAAGAAAUACUUGAAAGAAGUGAAAACAAACAGCCACAGGUAUGUAGCAAUUUAAAUUUCUGGUUUACUAUUGGUUGGUUAGUUGGUUUUUCUUUAAUAACAUAGCAUAGUCCAAAUGAAGUGACCUUUUAGACUAUCCUUUUAGAAUCCAACAGAUCGUAAUUUCAUAUUUAAUUUUAAAAUAUUUUAGUCAGUUAUAAAAUUUAAAAUAUUCUUAUAGUCUGUAGUAACUCAUAGCUAUCUGUACCCUUGAACCUGAGGCCAGAAGUUUCCAGAAGUCUCUUUGCUCUUUUAUUUUAUCUUUUAUUUUUAUAACCUUCUUCACGAUAAAGUAAGUAACAUCAAAAAUGGAGUUGUAUUACUAAGCUAGAGAAAUUAUGAACAAUUGGACAGUGAUGGCCACUGAGUUCAGCUCCUGUUAAAGGAGGCAUCAUUCCCAGUGGUUCAAACUUUGCAGUUUUAUGUUGCUGGUCACCAGUGCUGAGGUUAAAAACUUCUUCUGUUUUUUUGGUCUCUGGUUGCCUUCAGUGUCUAUGUUCAGGGAGAGGAUGGGGUCAUACAAUCAACCCAACUGCCUAUUAAGAGAAUUACAACUUCCAGAAUGGGACUUUGGUGUCAGGGUACAAACAAUAACUUUCUUAUUUUAACAUAAAUAGUAAACAUUAUUAAAAUCUUUUAUUCCACUGUCACUAGUGGAACUUAGAAUAUAUUAGAACUGAAUAUAAGAAAUAAUCUAUCCAGAUAACACUCAUAGCAUUUGAAGUAGAAUCUAAAAAUUCUCUUUCUGAUUGGUGUUCAUUUUGGCUUCUAAUAAUUUAGCAUUUGCCUACUCUCCGGUUAAUCUUCAGAAAUAUGAAUUUACUGUAGGGGUUCACUAUUUAUGGUAUGCUGAGGUCAAAAUCCUUUUAAGAGAGAAACUUUUGGAAUACUACAUAUCAUCUGUGAACCCAUUUCUGGCAGAUUUAAUUCAUAAUGAAUUAAGUUUAGUCCAAACUAACAGUGAGAGUUAAGCUUGCUGGUUCAUGUUUUUCUCCUAUGUUAAGCCAAGGCAAAUUAUUUUUUACUUCUUAGUUAUAAUCCAGUAACUUAGGGGUGGCAAAACACAGAUUAAGUUUUACAGUUAAAUUUUAAUUAUGUUCUAUUUUUUGUUCAUA